This 429-nucleotide ribosomal RNA is filed under the name Acidobacteriota bacterium. Its description in RNAcentral is "Acidobacteria bacterium partial 16S ribosomal RNA". It matches the Rfam family "Bacterial small subunit ribosomal RNA", at positions 355 to 776 of the family's 1533-position model. Lineage: Bacteria; Pseudomonadati; Acidobacteriota. The record is from RNAcentral.
UGGGGAAUUUUGGACAAUGGGGGAAACCCUGAUCCAGCCAUCCCGCGUGUGCGAUGAAGGCCUUCGGGUUGUAAAGCACUUUUGGCAGGAAAGAAACGUCAUGGGUUAAUACCCCGUGAAACUGACGGUACCUGCAGAAUAAGCACCGGCUAACUACGUGCCAGCAGCCGCGGUAAUACGUAGGGUGCAAGCGUUAAUCGGAAUUACUGGGCGUAAAGCGUGCGCAGGCGGUUCGGAAAGAAAGAUGUGAAAUCCCAGAGCUCAACUUUGGAACUGCAUUUUUAACUACCGGGCUAGAGUGUGUCAGAGGGAGGUGGAAUUCCGCGUGUAGCAGUGAAAUGCGUAGAUAUGCGGAGGAACACCGAUGGCGAAGGCAGCCUCCUGGGAUAACACUGACGCUCAUGCACGAAAGCGUUGGGAGCAAACAGG